RNAcentral lists this transfer RNA (63 nucleotides) under Chasmoptera huttii. Its description in RNAcentral is "tRNA-Thr". It matches the Rfam family "tRNA". From Rfam's summary of the family: Transfer RNA (tRNA) molecules are approximately 80 nucleotides in length. Lineage: Eukaryota; Metazoa; Arthropoda; Insecta; Neuroptera; Nemopteridae. The record is from RNAcentral.
GUUUUAGUAGUUUAAUAAAAACAUUGGUUUUGUAAACCAAAAAUAAGUUAAUCUUUUAAAACU